AAAUUGAAGAGUUUGAUCAUGGCUCAGAUUGAACGCUGGCGGCAGGCCUAACACAUGCAAGUCGAACGGUAACAGGAAACAGCUUGCUGCUUUGCUGACGAGUGGCGGACGGGUGAGUAAUGUCUGGGAAACUGCCUGAUGGAGGGGGAUAACUACUGGAAACGGUAGCUAAUACCGCAUAACGUCGCAAGACCAAAGAGGGGGACCUUCGGGCCUCUUGCCAUCGGAUGUGCCCAGAUGGGAUUAGCUAGUAGGUGGGGUAAAGGCUCACCUAGGCGACGAUCCCUAGCUGGUCUGAGAGGAUGACCAGCCACACUGGAACUGAGACACGGUCCAGACUCCUACGGGAGGCAGCAGUGGGGAAUAUUGCACAAUGGGCGCAAGCCUGAUGCAGCCAUGCCGCGUGUAUGAAGAAGGCCUUCGGGUUGUAAAGUACUUUCAGCGGGGAGGAAGGGAGUAAAGUUAAUACCUUUGCUCAUUGACGUUACCCGCAGAAGAAGCACCGGCUAACUCCGUGCCAGCAGCCGCGGUAAUACGGAGGGUGCAAGCGUUAAUCGGAAUUACUGGGCGUAAAGCGCACGCAGGCGGUUUGUUAAGUCAGAUGUGAAAUCCCCGGGCUCAACCUGGGAACUGCAUCUGAUACUGGCAAGCUUGAGUCUCGUAGAGGGGGGUAGAAUUCCAGGUGUAGCGGUGAAAUGCGUAGAGAUCUGGAGGAAUACCGGUGGCGAAGGCGGCCCCCUGGACGAAGACUGACGCUCAGGUGCGAAAGCGUGGGGAGCAAACAGGAUUAGAUACCCUGGUAGUCCACGCCGUAAACGAUGUCGACUUGGAGGUUGUGCCCUUGAGGCGUGGCUUCCGGAGCUAACGCGUUAAGUCGACCGCCUGGGGAGUACGGCCGCAAGGUUAAAACUCAAAUGAAUUGACGGGGGCCCGCACAAGCGGUGGAGCAUGUGGUUUAAUUCGAUGCAACGCGAAGAACCUUACCUGGUCUUGACAUCCACGGAAGUUUUCAGAGAUGAGAAUGUGCCUUCGGGAACCGUGAGACAGGUGCUGCAUGGCUGUCGUCAGCUCGUGUUGUGAAAUGUUGGGUUAAGUCCCGCAACGAGCGCAACCCUUAUCCUUUGUUGCCAGCGGUCCGGCCGGGAACUCAAAGGAGACUGCCAGUGAUAAACUGGAGGAAGGUGGGGAUGACGUCAAGUCAUCAUGGCCCUUACGACCAGGGCUACACACGUGCUACAAUGGCGCAUACAAAGAGAAGCGACCUCGCGAGAGCAAGCGGACCUCAUAAAGUGCGUCGUAGUCCGGAUUGGAGUCUGCAACUCGACUCCAUGAAGUCGGAAUCGCUAGUAAUCGUGGAUCAGAAUGCCACGGUGAAUACGUUCCCGGGCCUUGUACACACCGCCCGUCACACCAUGGGAGUGGGUUGCAAAAGAAGUAGGUAGCUUAACCUUCGGGAGGGCGCUUACCACUUUGUGAUUCAUGACUGGGGUGAAGUCGUAACAAGGUAACCGUAGGGGAACCUGCGGUUGGAUCACCUCCUUA
RNAcentral lists this ribosomal RNA (1542 nucleotides) under Escherichia coli F11. Its description in RNAcentral is "bacterial SSU rRNA". It matches the Rfam family "Bacterial small subunit ribosomal RNA". Lineage: Bacteria; Pseudomonadati; Pseudomonadota; Gammaproteobacteria; Enterobacterales; Enterobacteriaceae. The record is from RNAcentral.